Long non-coding RNA from Papaver somniferum (opium poppy), 195 nucleotides. RefSeq lists it as uncharacterized. The transcript is spliced from 3 exons. The record is from RefSeq and is a predicted model, not a curated record. NCBI's taxonomy places the organism in Eukaryota, Viridiplantae, Streptophyta, Magnoliopsida, Ranunculales, Papaveraceae.
CGUUUCUUCUCUCUGAAAUUGAGGUAAGGUUGCUUUUGGAUUCACUCAUGGAGAGAUUUUAAGAUUAAUGUUAAUCGAGUUUAAGAUUUCGAUCUGUUGAAGAACAUCAUCGGAAAAAAAAAGAUUCAUCAACCAAUUCCAACAAUUAGGAUAUGGAUAAAGCUGAGGGUUCUAAAAGGAGAGGGGGUGCACAUA